CAGCCGCCGCGGGAAUACGAAGGGUGCAAGCGUUAAUCGGAAUUACUGGGCGUAAAGCGUGCGUAGGCGGUGAGUUAAGUCUGCUGUGAAAUCCCCGGGCUCAACCUGGGAAUGGCAGUGGAUACUGGCUCGCUAGAGUGUGUCAGAGGAUGGUGGAAUUCCCGGUGUAGCGGUGAAAUGCGUAGAGAUCGGGAGGAACAUCAGUGGCGAAGGCGGCCAUCUGGGACAACACUGACGCUGAGGCACGAAAGCGUGGGGAGCAAACAGGAUUAGAUACCCCUGUAGUCCCUGUCUCUUAUCC
RNAcentral lists this ribosomal RNA (301 nucleotides) under uncultured bacterium. Its description in RNAcentral is "partial 16S ribosomal RNA". It matches the Rfam family "Bacterial small subunit ribosomal RNA", at positions 509 to 809 of the family's 1533-position model. The record is from RNAcentral.